GACGAACGCUGGCGGCGUGCUUAACACAUGCAAGUCGAACGGAAAGGCCCUGCUUGCAGGGUACUCGAGUGGCGAACGGGUGAGUAACACGUGGGUGAUCUGCCCUGCACUUCGGGAUAAGCUUGGGAAACUGGGUCUAAUACCGGAUAGGAGCCAUCUUUAGUGUGGUGGUUGGAAAGUUUUUUCGGUGUAGGAUGAGCUCGCGGCCUAUCAGCUUGUUGGUGGGGUAAUGGCCUACCAAGGCGGCGACGGGUAGCCGGCCUGAGAGGGUGUACGGCCACAUUGGGACUGAGAUACGGCCCAGACUCCUACGGGAGGCAGCAGUGGGGAAUAUUGCACAAUGGGCGCAGGCCUGAUGCAGCGACGCCGCGUGGGGGAUGAAGGCCUUCGGGUUGUAAACUCCUUUCGCUAGGGACGAAGCUUUGUUGUGACGGUACCUAGAUAAGAAGCACCGGCUAACUACGUG
RNAcentral lists this ribosomal RNA (466 nucleotides) under uncultured bacterium. RNAcentral's name for it is "partial 16S ribosomal RNA". It matches the Rfam family "Bacterial small subunit ribosomal RNA", at positions 28 to 507 of the family's 1533-position model. The record is from RNAcentral.